GCCAGCCGCUCAGAACUUAAGGAAUUGACGGGGCCGCACAAGCGGUGAGCAUGUGGUUUAAUUCGAUGAUACGCGAGGACCUUACCUGGGCUCAAAUGUAUGUUGACGUAUUCUGAAAGGGAUACUUCUUCGGACAAUAUACAAGGUGCUGCAUGGUUGUCGUCAGCUCGUGCCGUGAGGUGUCGGGUUAAGUCCCAUAACGAGCGCAACCCCUAUCAUUAGUUGCCAUCAGGUCAAGCUGGGGACUCUAAUGAAACUGCCUACGCAAGUAGUGAGGAAGGUGGGGAUGACGUCAAAUCAGCACGGCCCUUACGUCCAGGGCUACACACGUGCUACAAUGGCCGGUACAAAGGGCAGCUACCUGGUGACAGGAUGCUAAUCUCAAAAGCCGGUCUCAGUUCGGAUCGGAGUCUGCAACCCGACUCCGUGAAGCUGGAAUCGCUAGUAAUCGUGGAUCAGCAUGCCACGGUGAAUACGUUCCCGGGCCUU
This 489-nucleotide ribosomal RNA is filed under the name uncultured Sphingobacteriales bacterium. RNAcentral's name for it is "bacterial SSU rRNA". It matches the Rfam family "Bacterial small subunit ribosomal RNA", at positions 904 to 1382 of the family's 1533-position model. Lineage: Bacteria; Pseudomonadati; Bacteroidota; Sphingobacteriia; Sphingobacteriales. The record is from RNAcentral.